CCUACGGGGUGCAGCAGUGAGGAAUAUUGGUCAAUGGACGAGAGUCUGAACCAGCCAAGUAGCGUGAAGGAUGACUGCCCUAUGGGUUGUAAACUUCUUUUAUAUGGGAAUAAAAUGUUCCACGUGUGGGAUUUUGUAUGUACCAUAUGAAUAAGGAUCGGCUAACUCCGUGCCAGCAGCCGCGGUAAUACGGAGGAUCCGAGCGUUAUCCGGAUUUAUUGGGUUUAAAGGGAGCGUAGGUGGAUUGUUAAGUCAGUUGUGAAAGUUUGCGGCUCAACCGUAGAAUUGCAGUUGAAACUGGCAGUCUUGAGUACAGUAGAGGUGGGCGGAAUGCGUGGUGUAGCGGUGAAAUGCUUAGAUAUCACGAAGAACUCCGAUUGCGAAGGCAGUUCACUGGACUGCAACUGACACUGAGGCUCGAAAGUGUGGGUAUCAAACAGGAUUAGAUACCCUGGUAGUC
This 460-nucleotide ribosomal RNA is filed under the name uncultured bacterium. RNAcentral's name for it is "partial 16S ribosomal RNA". It matches the Rfam family "Bacterial small subunit ribosomal RNA", at positions 338 to 795 of the family's 1533-position model. The record is from RNAcentral.